This 253-nucleotide ribosomal RNA is filed under the name uncultured bacterium. RNAcentral's name for it is "partial 16S ribosomal RNA". It matches the Rfam family "Bacterial small subunit ribosomal RNA", at positions 524 to 776 of the family's 1533-position model. The record is from RNAcentral.
UACGGGGGGAGCAAGCGUUGUCCGGAUUUACUGGGCGUAAAGAGCGCGCAGGCGGUCGUCCAAGUCGCGUGUGAAAGCCCCCGGCUCAACUGGGGAGGGUCACGCGAUACUGAUCGACUCGAAGGCAGGAGAGGGUAGUGGAAUUCCCGGUGUAGUGGUGAAAUGCGUAGAUAUCGGGAGGAACACCAGUGGCGAAGGCGACUACCUGGCCUGUUCUUGACGCUGAGGCGCGAAAGCUAGGGGAGCAAACGGG